GCCAGUGUGACAUAGUGGUUUGAGCACUGAGCUAUGACCCUGGUGACCAAGGUUCGAUCCCCAGCUUGGCCA
Non-coding RNA from Phrynosoma platyrhinos (Desert horned lizard), 72 nucleotides. The record is from the annotation of a GenBank genome assembly. NCBI's taxonomy places the organism in Eukaryota, Metazoa, Chordata, Lepidosauria, Squamata, Phrynosomatidae.